UAUCUUUACCUACUGCAUUUCCUAUGUUUUCUUUAGCUUGGCGACACUUCUGUGUUUUAAUUAGCCACAUUUAACAUUUGAGAGAGCUAGAAAACUAUAAUAAAACUCAUUUGUUGUUCUGUGCGCGAGGUGUGAAAUAUGAUCUUGCUCCGGUUCGGAUUUAUGGCGGGAGAAAGUGCCCAUUCUAGGGUAGCCUUGGUGGGGGGUGUUUUAUUUGUCGUAAAUAUCGCCAAACAGUAUUGCUCUUUGUAUUCUUAUUUAUUUGAUCAUAAAAGCACAUUUAUUUAUAAAAUAAGCUACUUCAUGUUACGAAAUGAGUUCUAUGAUAUUUUGUGAUGUCCUUGCAUUUUGAUUAUGUUCGUAUUUUCCUAGAAACUUCUAUCAAAAUUUGAAAAACAUUGAACGUGAACUUGUUCCCUCGUCUGCCAAUGGAUCACCAAUCGCAGAAUUGGUUCGUUCUGCCUCGUUCAUGUGGCUGUCAUUUCUUGGUCGAUGUACCCUAAUGCGAUAGUCAGAUUUCCACAUACUUGCCAUUUCGGCAUCCUGAAAUCAAACUUCGAAGUUUGAUACUCCCACACCAGCUCCAGCGUCACUAAAGUCAGCCCAAAGAGAAUGAUUUACGUCACUCGCACCUUAUAUUAUCAAGAUGUAGAGAAGAGUAGAAGUGUCAAGGAGAAUGCUCACAUAAAUUGAAGAAAAAAAGAAAAUAAGAGAAAAAACAGAAGACAGUCAGAACAAAGGCUACACAGUAGAUCCAAAGAAAUAAUCACCAGUCUUGU
Nematostella vectensis (starlet sea anemone) is the source of this 779-nucleotide long non-coding RNA. RefSeq lists it as uncharacterized. Lineage: Eukaryota; Metazoa; Cnidaria; Anthozoa; Actiniaria; Edwardsiidae. The record is from RefSeq and is a predicted model, not a curated record. The transcript is spliced from 2 exons.